This 75-nucleotide transfer RNA is filed under the name bacterium. RNAcentral's name for it is "tRNA-Arg". It matches the Rfam family "tRNA". Rfam says of the family: Transfer RNA (tRNA) molecules are approximately 80 nucleotides in length. The record is from RNAcentral.
GUCCCCAUAGUUUAAUGGAUAAAACGGGAGGCUUCUAUCCUUUUGAUCCAGGUUCGAGUCCUGGUGGGGGCACCG